CGACGGACGAGCGUCUUGAACUUAUGCUCGAAUCGAUCGAUUUUUUCGGACUGAAAGCUCGGGAUAUUUGAAAUGCUGUGGGCGGGAAGUGCGCGUGGUGCGGGAGAAAACGCCCGAGGCUGUGGGGAUUCCUGCAUUAUAAUAUUGAGUUAAGUUUUUAAAUUAAUAUUUGUCUGUUCUUUUAUUUGUCUUUGACAUGUUAGCUCUGAUUUCAUGCAUAUGUUUGCCCAAAAUGAUGAUCUAAACCUGUAAUUAAGACAUAUUGAGCUAACGUUACAUUUACCUAACUUGGUGUUUUUCUUCGUCCAGGGGAAAAUGUUAGGAUUUUUUUUUAGUAUAAAUCAUGAUCAUGAUUUUAGUAGAAAUAGUAGAUUAUAAUAGUAGUAUCUGCACAACUAAUUAAUUGACCUAGCAAACAACUUUCGACCAGUAAGUGCUGUAAAAAUGUUUCUCCCAUUAGGACCUAAAGCUUUUCAAUGAUGUUUGAUGACUGAGGACACUUUUGAAAUACAUGACUGAAAACAUUCACCUGAGAAGAGUGUGUCCUGUAGGCCCUUUUUUCCUGAAAGUCCUGAAGACCUCAUCAACGAGUACCUUGCGAUUUGAACGAUAACUAGAAAGAUGAUUGUGAGGGUGACCUUGAGCAGCUCUUUGUGGUGGUGUUCAUUAUUCUGAAGGAGGGGGAGAACUUCAUGAACCACCUGCUGACAUUGGCAUUGUGAUUGAGGGAGUUAAAGUUUUGAAUCAACUGACUUCAGUCACAUCAGCUUGUGCCCUGCUUCUGGAUGCUUUGCAACAAGUAAAGGCUGAGGAAAAAGGAGGCCUCAAAGUUUGUAUUUGCUGUUUCUGCAAAACUGGCUCCGUUUAUGCUCCUGAUCAGCUUGCGGGCAUUGCUCGUGGUGGAAAUCCCUGAGUUCGUCAGAGUAUCAAUUUAAUGAAUAAGGACAUACGUUUUGCAUUAGAAGAGUAGCUUCAAUCCUUGAAAAGCUUCAAGUCCUGAACAGUGAACUGUGGUAGUGUUUCAGUUUGUAGUGCUGUGUUUCUGUCUUUGUUGGUGAGUUUCCAUGUAUAUUUACCUCCAUUUUACAGAUGCAGGUUGCAUUUGUUGUCACGGUUUUCCAGGCUUUUUCCAAUGACUAAAAUGCAUGUCUGAGCUGUUUUAACUGAAAGUAACUUGCACUGACAUCUUAAUUUGUCUGUGCUAUUGUUUUGUCUCAAGAUGAACACCAAUAAUAUAUAUUUUUUUUUUUUACUACUUAACCCCUUUCACAGACAAGGCUUAAACCUAGUCCCAGACUAAAAUGCAUGUCUGAGCUGAAAACAUAUCUUAAAAUAUGUCACUGCCAUUGAUUUGUCUCAAGAUAAACACUUUUCUAAGGCAUGUCUAUAAAAUCUACUUAAAUAAUUGAACUAAGGUCUGAUCCUGGCUUAGCCUAAGCCCUGUCUGUGAAAUCAGGUCUAUUUGUUUGUCACCAUGAAAUGCCAUUUUUACAGCCACUUGUUUUACCUGAAUGUGAUGUUAAUUCCUGUUGAAACAGUGUUUGGUUAUAAAUAAAUACAUUUGUAUGUAAACUGAAUUUUUCAUUAAAACCAUAUUAACUGCA
This is a long non-coding RNA of Ctenopharyngodon idella (grass carp), 1604 nucleotides long. RefSeq lists it as uncharacterized. NCBI's taxonomy places the organism in Eukaryota, Metazoa, Chordata, Actinopteri, Cypriniformes, Xenocyprididae. The transcript is spliced from 5 exons. The record is from RefSeq and is a predicted model, not a curated record.